RNAcentral lists this ribosomal RNA (468 nucleotides) under uncultured bacterium. Its description in RNAcentral is "partial 16S ribosomal RNA". It matches the Rfam family "Bacterial small subunit ribosomal RNA", at positions 28 to 507 of the family's 1533-position model. The record is from RNAcentral.
GACGAACGCUGGCGGCGUGCUUAACACAUGCAAGUCGAACGGGAAGGCCCUGCUUUUGUGGGGUGCUCGAGUGGCGAACGGGUGAGUAACACGUGAGUAACCUGCCCUUGACUUUGGGAUAACUUCAGGAAACUGGGGCUAAUACCGGAUAGGAGCUCCUGCUGCAUGGUGGGGGUUGGAAAGUUUCGGUGGUUGGGGAUGGACUCGCGGCUUAUCAGCUUGUUGGUGGGGUAGUGGCUUACCAAGGCUUUGACGGGUAGCCGGCCUGAGAGGGUGACCGGCCACAUUGGGACUGAGAUACGGCCCAGACUCCUACGGGAGGCAGCAGUGGGGAAUAUUGCACAAUGGGCGGAAGCCUGAUGCAGCAACGCCGCGUGCGGGAUGACGGCCUUCGGGUUGUAAACCGCUUUCGCCUGUGACGAAGCGUGAGUGACGGUAAUGGGUAAAGAAGCACCGGCUAACUACGUG